ACGGUGAGUAACACGUGGGUAACCUAUCUAUAAGACUGGAAUAACUCCGGGAAACCGGGGCUAAUGCCGGAUAACAUGUUGAACCGCAUGGUUCUACAGUGAAAGNCGGCUUUGCUGUCACUUAUAGAUGGACCCGCGCCGUAUUAGCUAGUUGGUGAGGUAACGGCUCACCAAGGCAACGAUACGUAGCCGACCUGAGAGGGUGAUCGGCCACACUGGAACUGAGACACGGUCCAGACUCCUACGGGAGGCAGCAGUAGGGAAUCUUCCGCAAUGGGCGAAAGCCUGACGGAGCAACGCCGCGUGAGUGAUGAAGGUCUUCGGAUCGUAAAACUCUGUUAUUAGGGAAGAACAAAUGCGUAAGUAACUGUGCGCGUCUUGACGGUACCUAAUCAGAAAGCCACGGCUAACUAC
This 414-nucleotide ribosomal RNA is filed under the name uncultured bacterium. RNAcentral describes it as "bacterial SSU rRNA". It matches the Rfam family "Bacterial small subunit ribosomal RNA", at positions 100 to 504 of the family's 1533-position model. The record is from RNAcentral.